RNAcentral lists this non-coding RNA (63 nucleotides) under Plasmodium falciparum 3D7. Lineage: Eukaryota; Apicomplexa; Aconoidasida; Haemosporida; Plasmodiidae. The record is from RNAcentral.
UUCCUCAAGGUAUCGGAAGUAGGGGGGUCUUUCCACAAAAUUUUUUAACGUGAGGGGUUGGGU